GUAGCAUUAUGUGCUGCACGUUCUUCUUCAGCUCUUCGCUCUGCAGAGGCCAGCUCCUCCCUAAGUGCCUGCAUCAUCCUUGUCUCUGUUAGUUCUCUGUUUCUCAUAAUAGACUCCAUGUUUGCCUGCAUUGAAGCCAGAUUUCCUUCAGACAAAGUAGCCUGUUUCUUGAGUGUGUCCAUAGAGUUAACAAGGGCCUCAAUUUCAGAAUUUUUUGCAGCCAAAGCCUCAGCCAUAUUUGACUCUACUCUUGUCAUUUCACUUUUAGAUGUAGACAAAUUUUGCUGUAGCUGCUUUAUACGAGCCUCAUAUGAUCUACUCAGCUCCCUCUCUGCAAUGAGAAGUUCCUCCAGCUGUGCAUUUUCAGAUUUGUAUUCUUGAAGGCG
Molecule: unclassified non-coding RNA, 386 nt
Filed under: Hevea brasiliensis (rubber tree)
Lineage: Eukaryota; Viridiplantae; Streptophyta; Magnoliopsida; Malpighiales; Euphorbiaceae
Source: RNAcentral